CAGGAGACAUGGGAGACAUGGGAGACGUGUUUGUCAGUCUGUUCGGACGCAGAAGCACAGACUCGGGCUCGGCUGCGUGGAGACGAGAGAGACAAGGCGGAGUCUUCAGAAAGAACCCGAGACUCUGGCCAGGAUUUCGGCCCUGAAGCUUGGUCUCGGCGGUGGCGCUGAUCUCAUCAUCCACCGUUUAUGAUUCACUCGUCUUAUUCUGGAGGAAGUG
Molecule: long non-coding RNA, 220 nt
Organism: Clarias gariepinus (North African catfish)
Lineage: Eukaryota; Metazoa; Chordata; Actinopteri; Siluriformes; Clariidae
Exons: 3
Source: RefSeq, a predicted model, not a curated record